Anas platyrhynchos (mallard) is the source of this 581-nucleotide non-coding RNA. Lineage: Eukaryota; Metazoa; Chordata; Aves; Anseriformes; Anatidae. The record is from RefSeq and is a predicted model, not a curated record.
UCACAGCUGGUUUGAAAUUCAGGGCUAAGACACACCAGACCAUGUGCUGUGUCGAGUGUCAGCCUGCCUCAAGUGCAUUUGCAAAGCACAAGGCAAAGCUGAGUGUCUGAAUAAAAAAAUGCCUUCAGAAGUGACAAGAUCUAUCAUAAGAACUGUGGCAGUGCCAGCAGAGUGAGCCAUGGCAUUCACCUCUCCCCAGCCACCAGACUGAGCCACGGGGGCUGCUCUUCCAGGAGGGCUGGAUCCAGCUGUAUCACAUCAUUCAAUUAGAAGAGCUGAAUGCUGUGCCUCAGUGUCUGCUGUGAAGUCUAAGGAGACUUAAGGACUGUUGACGACAGCAUAACUUUGCCAGAGCAGGAGAAUGAAGACAGCCUGGCAAACACUGCUGGUUUGCUAAUGAUGCUUAUCUGCUCUAGCAAUCACAGAGAAUUGGAAGUGGCAGAGGAGAGAGAAGAAAAUCCUUAGGGAAAUCAGUGUGAAAUAAACUUCUGGAGUUGCUCAGAGAGUGGGAAGACUCUGUGAAAGACCCCUAUUACAAUCAAAAGCCCUCUCAAAUAAAAGACGCCUAAAAUUAGAGGUGA